Diospyros lotus (date-plum) is the source of this 4185-nucleotide RNA transcript. It is a transcript of the gene named protein WHAT'S THIS FACTOR 1 homolog, chloroplastic, with no coding region annotated. The transcript has 2 exons. NCBI's taxonomy places the organism in Eukaryota, Viridiplantae, Streptophyta, Magnoliopsida, Ericales, Ebenaceae. The record is from RefSeq and is a predicted model, not a curated record.
UACUAGGAUUCAAAACAGGGGAGUCAUGGGUUUUGGGUACUGGAAUAUUGUUCAAUGUUGGGUACAUGCUGUCUUCGUUCCAGUUGGAGAACAUUCAAAUCUUCAAUUUCUGAUGUCUGAAUCUGAUGAUGCUAUUGCUAUGCGAUGAACGAUCCAUUUCGGCCGUAGUACAUGGCUUUGCGCCGCCUGACCACCGCCACUUAUUCCGGGCUCCGCCACCAGAAACCACAAAUCGCCACCACUCACCAAAACCCUAACCCUAAACCCCACUUCCUCUCUCACUUCUCCACUUCCUUCCUCGUCACUAAAGCCCCCAAAAAGCACCGCAAGAAGCGAAAGAAGGAAAGCCCCCGAACCACGCCGAUCCAGCACCCCUCCAGCCGCCUCCCGCCUUUCGAAGCCAUCGUCGAGCGCGACGCCGCCUUCCGCUUCCUCACCAGGACCAAAGCCUACCUCUCCAAGCAGCCGGAGCACGUCCUCCGCCUCGACGACGCUGGAAAGCUCUACCGCGAGCUCGGCUUCCCCCGCGGCCGCAAGGUCCUCCGCUCCAUCCAGCGCCACCCCCUCCUUCUCGAGACCUACCGCCAUGACGACGGCAAGUUGUGGUUCGGCUUCACCAACUUCAUGGAAUCGCUCCUCGAAGAAGAGAAGGCCAUCGCGAAUUCAAUGGAGGCUCGCAGAGUCACCGCUGUCCGGAAACUCCUCAUGAUGUCGGCGCAAAAGCGAAUUCCUCUCAGCAAAUUGCACCAUUGCCGGUCGCUGUUCGGCCUCCCGGAAGAUUUAAGGGACCGGGUCGGGUCAUACCCAGAAUAUUUCCGGGUCGUGGCUGAAGACGACGGGAAGAGAGUCCUCGAGCUCGUGAACUGGGAUCCGCUAUUGGCAGUGAGCGCAUUAGAGAGGGAAUUCAUGGUGGACGAGGACCGAGUGAAGAAAGCCUUCAAAUUUCCGGUGAAGCACGGCAAGUCACUUGAUUUGGAGGACUACGAUGCGAGGAAAUUGAAUUUGUUGAACACGCUUCCCCUGGUUUCGCCUUAUUCAGAUGGGUCGAAGCUGGAUCUCUGGACAUUGGAGGCCGAGAAGUAUAGGGUUGGGGUUUUGCACGAGUUCUUGAGCUUGACGUUGGAGAAGAGGGCUUCCAUACACCACAUUGUGGAGUUCAAGGAGGAGUUUAGUCUCACCAAACAUACUUACCAGAUGCUUUUGAAGCAGCCUCGCACCUUCUAUUUGGCUGGCACUGAGAUGAACUGGGUUGUAUUCUUGAGAGAUGCUUAUGGUGAAGAUGGGAUUUUGAGCAAUAAGGAUCCACAGGUGGUUUUCAAUGAGAAGUUGUAUAGAUACGCGCAGUUGCAAGAGAUGGAACCCAUAUCUGAGGUUAUGGAGAAAUGAUCCGGUUCCAGUUUGCUGUAACUUCGCAAUUUCUGCAAUUGCAAAUUGAGCAAAUGAAGGGCGCCAGUCUGAUCAGCAUGUUUAUUGUCCAAGCACGACAUGUCUUAGUCAUUCUUACUUCUUAUCCAUCUACCUCAUCGGAUGUCAUGCGACAAAUUUGGGAUGACAUAUGUGCCUAUAAAUCUAUACAUAUGGCAGUCCUACUAAAAUUCUUCCGUUGAAAAUACCAGACUAGACAAUUCUUCAAGAUACAGCACCAUAGAUGCUUCAGUACUUGGUUCUUCAUUGCUCCUUCACAAUCAUAUUAUUUUUCAUAUAUGGACCAUUGUUAAAAGGUGAAAGCAUAACAUGGUUAAUAUGUCUUUUCUAAUUUUGAUGCAGUCUAGAAGGGUAAAUGAGAUAUAGUCUUAGUAGCUAUCAUUUUAUGGAUUAAAAAAGCUCUUGAAUUUGCAAGAACAGAAAGUUCAAUUAUAUGUAAUGGUAAUAACCUUCAAUGUGCUCUGUGUAGAAAUUGCAGUUUUUUAUGAAGAACUAUAAUAUGGAACCUUUCUAGACGAAAAAUCCAAAAAAGGCUGAAAAUGGAAAUAUUGAUCGUAAAACUUGAUCUUCCUUCUAAAAGUCCAAAAAAAAAAAAAAUCCAAGUCGAAAUGAAUUUGCUUAAUGCAAGAAAUCUGCAAAAUAUAGAUUAUUAAAAUGAAAGGUUUAGGCCCGAAAAAGGUGGAAUUUGGCAUAAAUUUGUCAUAUCACUGUAGAAUUAGUUAAUAUUGUUUGUUAGAUCAUCUUUAAUUGACCUGCCAAAUUUCACUUGAUUUCAAGUAGUUUCACCAAAUUACCAUAUUCCCUUUGGCUUCAAUUUUAAUCUUGGCUCAACUUAUAUUACAAGAGCCAUCUCCCAGGCAUCCUACAUCAGUCUCUCUCCCCUUCUUCUGAAUAUUACUUGCUCAAGUUAAAAACAUGCAUAGUAUAAACAACAACAUAUCCAGCCUUUAUCCCACUAUGUGGCAUCGGCUACAUGAAUUCUAGAAUUUCAUGUAUUUCUAUCUUUUGUCAUAUAUUCAUUGAGAUCUAUACACUUCAUAUCAAACUUUAAUGUCUUCCUCAAAUUCUUCUUAGGUCUGCCUCUACCUCUUUUUUUGAUUAAUUGUUCCAUUUCAUCAACUCUCCUCACAGGAGCGUCUCUUAGUCUCCUUCUCACAUGAUCAAACCAUCUUAGUCUAGUCUCUCUCAUCUUCUCCUCUAUUGGCACUACUCCUAUCUUAUUACGAAUAACUUCAUUUCUAAUUUUAUCUUUUCUUGUAUGGCCGUACAUCCAUCUUAACAUCCUCAUCUCUGCUACACUCGUCUUUUGCUUCUGUUGGUAUUUGACUGCCCAACAUUUUGAACCGACAUGCAUGGUAUGAGUGUAAAAAUUUAUUGUGUCUUCUGGGUUACCUUGUGUGUUUAGUAAGGGGUUGCCUUUAUUUGGAACUAUCACAACUCAGUCCUCCUCCAUAUGCUCAUCUUCUUUAUCACAUUUUGCUUCAAAAGUCUCCAUCCACUUCCUCUUUAGUUGUUGCCAGAUUAAUAGCUUACACCUUCGAACAAUAAUUGGAGUUCUGCUUCAAGUAUACCGGUCACACUUAUCUCCUUCAAGGAGGGCAUAAGGGUUGAUGGCCUACAAUGUUUUGGCUUGCAUACUACUGAGUUUGUGUGAGUUAUGCAGGUCCUAUAAUUGCUUCAUCUUUAUUUGUCUCAGUCUUAUACGGUAAGAUGGUGGAACUAAGAGUUUUGAUUGGUUAUAGAUUUUGAGCUGCUUAUCUGCAAUUCUAGUCCUGUGGCCAGUCGUAUACCAUCUUACUAAUCCGGGUGUAUAGUUGCCACAUCACAUGUCUCAUUUGGCAACCCCUUGACCAACUGAUUUUCCAUCAACAUGUCAUUGUUAGCUGACAAGCCUUGGAACUCGAAGUCAUGGUCAUAAAUAGAUGGGGUGUUUUGCCUAUAUGUGUGAUACUACUUCUGGUCAUAGUCUAGAGGUAAGAAUCAGGCUCACAUCAAAUAAAUUCAUCUAAUUCAUCCAAGAUCAUGUCCAGAUUUUGCUUUUGCUGUGCCUGAUUGGUGAAAAUUUUAAUUGCUAUCCAAAAAAAAAAAAAGUUGCCCUUAAGUUUGUGAGUUUCUAGCUUCACAAUUCUUUUCCCGAAGUCUUCAAUGACCCAAUAUUUGUCAAAAGAUGUAUGGUACACCCUUCUCUGGAAGUUAUCAUAGGUACUACACAUCUACACAUAUGGUUAGGUUUAACAAUAUCCAGCAUCUAUUACUUCUCUUGGUCCUCACCCCAAGUUGCUUUAUUUAUUGGCAGUUGAUUAUUGGUUCUGUGAGUUAGCCCCUCGCUAACUGUUGAAUCUUGUUGAACAGCUAGUAGUUCAUCUGGAACUACUGUUAUUGUUUAUCAAAUUACUGUUGUUACUUUCUCUUGACUUCACCCUACAAAAUUCCAACACCAUGAUCAUCAUACAUCAUGGGUAGUCUCUUUGGUACUUUGUUAUGCGCCAUUAGAUGAAGACGAGGACCUCGCUCUUAUACCACUUGUUGUGACCUAGAAGGAUAAAACGGAUAUCUUUCUAGCAGACAGAUAAGUUGGUAGAUAUCAUUCUAUGGAUGUAGUAAAGAGCUUUUUGAAUCUAUAAGAACAUAAAAUUCACUAAUUCAAAUGGUAUUCAUCUUUAAUGAUCUCUAUAUGUAGAGAUUACAGCUCUUUAUAAAGAACUACAACAUUGAAUUUUUGAUAGAAUAAAAGUAGCAGAAAAUCAAAAAAUUUACCUA